RNAcentral lists this ribosomal RNA (1245 nucleotides) under metagenome. Its description in RNAcentral is "bacterial LSU rRNA". It matches the Rfam family "Bacterial large subunit ribosomal RNA", at positions 1564 to 2818 of the family's 2925-position model. The record is from RNAcentral.
UGAGUACGAGAUGCUACGGCAUCGAAGCAGUCUAUGUCAUACUUCCAGGAAAAGCUUGCACUGUCAGAAACAGAUAAUGCCUGUACCAUAACCGACACAGGUGGGUAGGUAGAGUAUACUAAGGGGCGCGAGAUAACUCUCUCUAAGGAACUCGGCAAAAUGACUCCGUAACUUCGGGAGAAGGAGUGCCUUAUUUUUAAGGUUGCAAUAACAAGAUCCAAGCAACUGUUUACCAAAAACACAGGUCUCCGCUAAGUCGUAAGACGAUGUAUGGGGGCUGACGCCUGCCCAGUGCCAGAAGGUUAAAGAAGUCGGUUAGCAUUCGCGAAGCUGGUAACUGAAGCCCUGGUGAACGGCGGCCGUAACAAUAACGGUCCUAAGGUAGCGAAAUUCCUUGUCGGGUAAGUUCCGACCCGCACGAAAGGCGUAAUGAUUUGGAUACUGUCUCGGAGAGGGGCUCGGUGAAAUAGACUUGUCUGUGAAGAUGCGGACUACCUGCACCUGGACAGAAAGACCCUAUGAAGCUUUACUGUAACUUGAAAUUGAAAUUGGACUUUAUUUGCGCAGUAUAGGUGGGAGGCGUUGAAAAUAUUCUUGCGGGAAUAUUGGAGCCAUCAGUGAGAUACCACUCUUGUAAUGUUAGAUUUCUAACUUUAUAUCAUUAUCUGGUUAAAGAACAGUUUCAGGCGGGCAGUUUGACUGGGGCGGUCGCCUCCCAAAUGGUAACGGAGGCGCACAAAGGUUUCCUCUGAACGGGUAGAAAUCGUAUCUAGAGUGUAAAGGCAUAAGGAAGCUUGACUGUGAGACCUACAAGUCGAGCAGGGACGAAAGUCGGUCUUAGUGAUCUGACGGUGCUGAGUGGAAAGGCCGUCACUCAACGGAUAAAAGUUACUCUAAGGAUAACAGGCUGAUCUCCCCCAAGAGUUCACAUCGACGGGGAGGUUUGGCACCUCGAUGUCGGCUCAUCGCAUCCUGGGGCGGUAGUACGUCCCAAGGGUUGGGCUGUUCGCCCAUGAAAGCGGUACGCGAGCUGGGUUCAGAACGUCGUGAGACAGUUCGGUCCAUAUCCGGUGUAGGCGUUAGAAUAUUGAGAGGAGCCUUCUUUAGUACGAGAGGACCGAGAAGGACAUACCUCUGGUGUACCAGUUAUCGUGCCAACGGUAAACGCUGGGUAGCUAUGUAUGGAGUGGAUAACCGCUGAAAGCAUCUAAGUGGGAAGCCCACCUCAAGAUAAGUAUUCUCAUC